GCUUAGCUCAGCUGGGAGAGCGCCUGCUUUGCACGCAGGAGGUCAGCGGUUCGAUCCCGCUAGU
This 64-nucleotide transfer RNA is filed under the name Staphylococcus aureus. RNAcentral describes it as "tRNA-Ala". It matches the Rfam family "tRNA", at positions 6 to 65 of the family's 71-position model. Rfam says of the family: Transfer RNA (tRNA) molecules are approximately 80 nucleotides in length. Their secondary structure includes four short double-helical elements and three loops (D, anti-codon, and T loops). Further hydrogen bonds mediate the characteristic L-shaped molecular structure. tRNAs have two regions of fundamental functional importance: the anti-codon, which is responsible for specific mRNA codon recognition, and the 3' end, to which the tRNAs corresponding amino acid is attached (by aminoacyl-tRNA synthetases). tRNAs cope with the degeneracy of the genetic code in two manners: having more than one tRNA (with a specific anti-codon) for a particular amino acid; and 'wobble' base-pairing, i.e. permitting non-standard base-pairing at the 3rd anti-codon position. The record is from RNAcentral. Lineage: Bacteria; Bacillati; Bacillota; Bacilli; Caryophanales; Staphylococcaceae.